CUACGGGUUGCUCCAGUAGGGAAUAUUGCACAAUGGGCGAAAGCCUGAUGCAGCAACGCCGCGUGAGUGAUGAAGGCCCUCGGGUCGUAAAACUCUUUUCAAGAGGAAGAGGAAGGACGGUACUCUUGGAAUAAGCCUCGGCUAACUACGUGCCAGCAGCCGCGGUAACACGUAGGAGGCGAGCGUUAUUCGGAUUUACUGGGCGUAAAGCGCGUGUAGGCGGCUCUAUAAGUUGGAUGUGAAAGCUCCCGGCUUAACUGGGAGAGGACGUUCAAAACUAUAGAGCUUGAGUACGAGAGAGGAAAAUGGAAUUCCGGGUGUAGUGGUGAAAUGCGUAGAUAUCCGGAGGAACACCAGUGGCGAAGGCGAUUUUCUGGCUCGAGACUGACGCUCAGACGCGAAAGCUAGGGUAGCAAACGGGAUUAGAUACCCCAGUAGUC
Molecule: ribosomal RNA, 440 nt
Filed under: uncultured bacterium
Lineage: Bacteria
Description: partial 16S ribosomal RNA
Rfam family: Bacterial small subunit ribosomal RNA
Source: RNAcentral